GGAGGUAUAGCUCAAGUGGUAGAGUGCAUGCUUAGCAUGCACAAGGUCCUGGGUUCAAUCCCCAGCACCACCU
Molecule: transfer RNA, 73 nt
Filed under: Camelus bactrianus (Bactrian camel)
Lineage: Eukaryota; Metazoa; Chordata; Mammalia; Artiodactyla; Camelidae
Also listed under: 2 other names
Rfam family: tRNA
About the family: Transfer RNA (tRNA) molecules are approximately 80 nucleotides in length.
Source: Rfam by way of RNAcentral